This 468-nucleotide ribosomal RNA is filed under the name uncultured bacterium. RNAcentral's name for it is "partial 16S ribosomal RNA". It matches the Rfam family "Bacterial small subunit ribosomal RNA", at positions 28 to 507 of the family's 1533-position model. The record is from RNAcentral.
GACGAACGCUGGCGGCGUGCUUAACACAUGCAAGUCGAACGGAAAGGCCCUGCUUUUGUGGGGUGCUCGAGUGGCGAACGGGUGAGUAACACGUGAGUAACCUGCCCUUGACUUUGGGAUAACUUCAGGAAACUGGGGCUAAUACCGGAUAGGAGCUCCUGCUGCAUGGUGGGGGUUGGAAAGUUUCGGCGGUGGGGGAUGGACUCGCGGCUUAUCAGCUUGUUGGUGGGGUAGUGGCUUACCAAGGCUUUGACGGGUAGCCGGCCUGGGAGGGUGACCGGCCACAUUAGGACUGAGAUACGGACCAGACUCCAACGGGAGGCAGCAGUGGGGAGUAUUGCACAAUGGGCGGGAGCCUGAUGCGACAGCGCCGCGUUCGGGAUGACGGCCUUCUGGUUGUGAACCGCUUUCGCCUGUGACGAAGCGUGAGUGACGGUAAUGGGUAAAGAAGCACCGGCUAACUACGUG